Molecule: ribosomal RNA, 495 nt
Filed under: uncultured bacterium
Lineage: Bacteria
Description: partial 16S ribosomal RNA
Rfam family: Bacterial small subunit ribosomal RNA
Source: RNAcentral
GACGAACGCUGGCGGCGUGCCUAAUACAUGCGAGUCGAACGCUGAAGGAGGAGCUUGCUUCUCCGGAUGAGUUGCGAACGGGUGAGUAACGCGUAGGUAACCUGCCUGGUAGCGGGGGAUAACUAUUGGAAACGAUAGCUAAUACCGCAUAAGAGUAGAUGUCGCAUGACAUUUGCUUAAAAGGUGCAACUGCACCACUACCAGAUGGACCUGCGUUGUAUUAGCUAGUUGGUGAGGUAACGGCUCACCAAGGCAACGAUACAUAGCCGACCUGAGAGGGUGAUCGGCCACACUGGGACUGAGACACGGCCCAGACGCCUACGGGAGGCAGCAGUAGGGAAUCUUCGGCAAGGGACGGAAGUCUGACCGAGCAACGCCGCGUGAGUGAAGAAGGGUGUCGGAUCGUAAAGCUCGGUUGUAAGAGAAGAACGAGUGUGAGAGUGGAAAGUUCACACUGUGACGGUAUCUUACCAGAAAGGGACGGCUAACUACGUG